RNAcentral lists this ribosomal RNA (483 nucleotides) under uncultured bacterium. RNAcentral describes it as "partial 16S ribosomal RNA". It matches the Rfam family "Bacterial small subunit ribosomal RNA", at positions 28 to 523 of the family's 1533-position model. The record is from RNAcentral.
GACGAACGCUGGCGGCGUGCUUAACACAUGCAAGUCGAACGAUGAAGCUGGAGCUUGCUCCGGUGGAUUAGUGGCGAACGGGUGAGUAACACGUGAGCAAUCUGCCCUUGACUCUGGGAUAACUGCGGGAAACUGUAGCUAAUACCGGAUAUGAGGCUCGAAGGCAUCUUCGGGUCUGGAAAGAAUUUCGGUCAAGGAUGAGCUCGCGGCCUAUCAGCUUGUUGGUGAGGUAAUGGCUCACCAAGGCGACGACGGGUAGCCGGCCUGAGAGGGGAACCGGCCACACUGGGACUGAGACACGGCCCAGACUCCUACGGGAGGCAGCAGUGGGGAAUAUUGCACAAUGGGCGAAAGCCUGAUGCAGCAACGCCGCGUGAGGGAUGAAGGCCUUCGGGUUGUAAACCUCUUUUAGCAGGGAAGAAGCGAAAGUGACGGUACCUGCAGAAAAGGCACCGGCUAACUACGUGCCAGCCGCCGCCGUAA